UACGGGGGGAGCAAGCGUUGUUCGGAUUUACUGGGCGUAAAGGGCGCGUAGGCGGCCAGCACAAGUCAGUUGUGAAAUCUCCGAGCUUAACUCGGAAAGGUCAACUGAUACUGUGCGGCUAAAGUGCGGAAGGGGCAACUGGAAUUCUUGGUGUAGCGGUGAAAUGCGUAGAUAUCAAGAGGAACACCUGCGGCGAAGGCGGGUUGCUGGGACGGUACUGACGCUGAGACGCGAAAGCGUGGGGAGCGAACAGG
RNAcentral lists this ribosomal RNA (254 nucleotides) under uncultured bacterium. RNAcentral's name for it is "partial 16S ribosomal RNA". It matches the Rfam family "Bacterial small subunit ribosomal RNA", at positions 524 to 776 of the family's 1533-position model. The record is from RNAcentral.